UAUAGAAGUAAACAUAGCGCUACAAUAAUGCAUGACAAGAACUUGUCAAUACAGAAAUAUUAUAUAUAUAUAUAUAUAUAUAUCUCUGUGUGUGUGUGUGUGUGUGUGUGUGUGUGUGUGGAGCUGCCUCACUAUAU
Molecule: small RNA, 137 nt
Filed under: Prunus dulcis (almond)
Lineage: Eukaryota; Viridiplantae; Streptophyta; Magnoliopsida; Rosales; Rosaceae
Description: sRNA ncRNA
Source: RNAcentral